UGGGGAAUAUUGCACAAUGGGCGCAAGCCUGAUGCAGUCAUGCCGCGUGUAUGAAGAAGGCCUUCGGGUUGUAAAGUACUUUCAGCGGGGAGGAAGGCGAUGCGGUUAAUAACCGCGUCGAUUGACGUUACCCGCAGAAGAAGCACCGGCUAACUCCGUGCCAGCAGCCGCGGUAAUACGGAGGGUGCAAGCGUUAAUCGGAAUUACUGGGCGUAAAGCGCACGCAGGCGGUCUGUCAAGUCGGAUGUGAAAUCCCCGGGCUCAACCUGGGAACUGCAUCCGAAACUGGCAGGCUUGAGUCUCGUAGAGGGGGGUAGAAUUCCAGGUGUAGCGGUGAAAUGCGUAGAGAUCUGGAGGAAUACCGGUGGCGAAGGCGGCCCCCUGGACGAAGACUGACGCUCAGGUGCGAAAGCGUGGGGAGCAAACA
This 427-nucleotide ribosomal RNA is filed under the name uncultured bacterium. RNAcentral's name for it is "partial 16S ribosomal RNA". It matches the Rfam family "Bacterial small subunit ribosomal RNA", at positions 355 to 774 of the family's 1533-position model. The record is from RNAcentral.